AUGCCAUGUGCUGGGAAAACAACUUUGGUUGCUCAUGUGUACAAAACUGUAAAAGUAUCCUUCGAUGCCUCUGCAUGGAUAACUGUGUCGGAGAGUUAUCAUGUUAAGGACUUGCUGAAGAAGAUUGCCAAAGAAUUUGGCAUACUAGUUGAUGUGUCUAACAUGGAGAUCAAAAACCUAGCAGAGACCAUCUAUGAAUACCUCCAAGAUUAUUCCAUCAAGAGGAGGACCGUAAUGAGACAUUGGAUUGCUGUUGUAUUCAUCAAGGAAAAGGUGAACCAAGCAUUGGAGGAAGUGGCAGAGGGUUACUUGACUGAACUUGUGAACCGAAGCCUACUGCAGGUAUAUCAACAUUGGUUUCCUGAUGAGGCCUGUCCUAGAAUCUUCAAGCCUGCUGUCAACGUUGGAUCUGCAAGCGAUCACCGUCCACUCGCGAUUCCAUUUUUGCGCCGAUAUCGCCAGCAGCCUCAUGCAGCUCGGCGACCCCGACGUGCUGCGCCGCCUCGCGGGCAGCUCGGGCAGUCGCCGGAGGGGAUGCAGAGCAUGGGAACCACCUUCUACACGAGCGGGCUCGGCGUCGGAAACUUCCUCAACAGCCUGCUUGUGACGUUUGUCGACCGGGCUACCAGGGCGAGCGCCGGCAAGAGCUGGAUCGGUGACAACCUGAACGACUCGCACCUCGACUACUACUACGUGUUGCUGCUGCUACUCUCCGUGGUGAACAUGGCGCUCUUUAUGUGUAAUUAA
Molecule: ribosomal RNA, 747 nt
Filed under: Triticum aestivum (bread wheat)
Lineage: Eukaryota; Viridiplantae; Streptophyta; Magnoliopsida; Poales; Poaceae
Description: partial small subunit ribosomal RNA
Source: RNAcentral